CACACUGUAAACGAUGAUUACUAGGUGUGGGGAGAUUGACCCUCUCCGUGCCGCAGUUAACACAAUAAGUAAUCCACCUGAGUAGUACGGCCGCAAGGUUGAAACUCAAAGGAAUUGACG
RNAcentral lists this ribosomal RNA (120 nucleotides) under uncultured bacterium. Its description in RNAcentral is "partial 16S ribosomal RNA". It matches the Rfam family "Bacterial small subunit ribosomal RNA", at positions 796 to 915 of the family's 1533-position model. The record is from RNAcentral.